UACGGAGGGGGCGAGCGUUAUUCGGAAUCAUUGGGCGUAAAGGGCGCGUAGGCGGCCCCGUAAGUCUUGGGUGAAAGCCCUCGGCUCAACCGAGGAAUUGCCUUGGAUACUGCGGGGCUCGAGGCUGGAAGAGGACAGUGUAAUUCCCGGUGUAGCGGUGAAAUGCGUAUAUAUCUGGAGGAACACCGGUGGCGAAGGCGGCAUCCUGGACCGGCAUUGACGCUGAGGCGCGAAAGCCAGGGGAGCAAACGGG
RNAcentral lists this ribosomal RNA (253 nucleotides) under uncultured bacterium. Its description in RNAcentral is "partial 16S ribosomal RNA". It matches the Rfam family "Bacterial small subunit ribosomal RNA", at positions 524 to 776 of the family's 1533-position model. The record is from RNAcentral.